RNAcentral lists this ribosomal RNA (378 nucleotides) under uncultured eukaryote. RNAcentral's name for it is "partial 18S ribosomal RNA". It matches the Rfam family "Eukaryotic small subunit ribosomal RNA", at positions 592 to 976 of the family's 1831-position model. The record is from RNAcentral.
CAAUAGCGUAUAUUUAAGUUGUUGCAGUUAAAAAGCUCGUAGUUGAAUUUCGGGUGGGACGCAGCGGUCUCGCAUUGCGUUUGUACUGCUGCAGCCCUCCUUCUUGCCGGGGGCGGCCUCUCGGACUUCACUGUCUGGGGGUCAGAAUCGGCGAUGUUACUUUGAGUAAAUUAGAGUGUUCAAAGCAAGCUUACGCUCUGAAUAUAAUAGCAUGGGAUAACACGACAGGACUCUGGCCUAUCGUGUUGGUCUAUAGGACCAGAGUAAUGAUUAAGAGGGACAGUCGGGGGCAUUCGUAUUCCGUUGUCAGAGGUGAAAUUCUUGGAUUUACGGAAGACGAACAUCUGCGAAAGCAUUUGCCAAGGAUGUUUUCAUUGA